GUAUUGGACUACCAUGGCGUAUUACGGGUAACGGAGAAUUAGGGUUCGAUUCCGGAGAGGGAGCCUGAGAAACGGCUACCACAUCUACGGAUGGCAGCAGGCGCGAAAAUUAGCCCAAUCCCGAUUCGGGGAGGCAGUGACAAGAAAUAACAACCCAGAACAUUGUUUCCGGGAUUGCAAUGAGAACAAUUUAAAAACCUUAUCGAGUACCAACUGAGGGCAAGUUCUGGUGCCAGCAGCCGCGGUAAUUCCAGCUCCAGUAGCGUAUAUUAAAGUUGCUGCAGUUAAAAAGCUCGUAGUUGAAUUUCUGUUUGUAAGAGUCGAAGCUUUACAGCUAAGAUUUCUUCGAACAUCUGUUUGCAAGCAUACGUUCGGCCUUCACUGGUUGGCUAUGUAAGCAAGUGUUUUACCUUGAGAAAAUUAGAGUGUUCCAGGCAGGCUUCAGCCGGAAUACAUUAGCAUGGAAUAAUGGAAUAGGACUGGGGACUAUUUAUUGGUUUGAGGCUCCAGUAAUGAUUAAUAGGAACAGUCGGGGGC
This 537-nucleotide ribosomal RNA is filed under the name uncultured eukaryote. Its description in RNAcentral is "SSU rRNA". It matches the Rfam family "Eukaryotic small subunit ribosomal RNA", at positions 333 to 889 of the family's 1831-position model. The record is from RNAcentral.